Non-coding RNA from Xyrichtys novacula (pearly razorfish), 1536 nucleotides. The record is from the annotation of a GenBank genome assembly. NCBI's taxonomy places the organism in Eukaryota, Metazoa, Chordata, Actinopteri, Labriformes, Labridae.
AAACAGUCAGCAAGAAAACAGUCAACAAGAAAACAGUCAACAAGAAAAUGCUGCUCCCCCGUGUCGUUCAGGAGCCCAAACAAAGUUAGCGUGCUACAAUAUCGGACAGUAGAAACCAACCAGAAAGUUCGGAAAAUUGUCUGAAUCCUCCUUUGGCCACGACUGCCGACACAAGCAAGAAAACACUCAAACAUAAACAGUCAGCAAGAAAACAGUCAACAAGAAAACAGUCAACAAGAUAACAGUCAACAAGAAAACAGUCAACAAGUAAACAGUCAGCAAGAAAACAGUCAACAUCAAAACAGUCCUCCAUAAACAGUCAACAAGAAAACAGUCAACAAGAAAACAGUCAGCAAGAAAACAGUCAACAUCAAAACAGUCAACCAUAAACAGUCAACACCAAAACAGUCAGCAAGAAAACAGUCAACCAUAAACAGUCAGCAAGAAAACAGUCAACCAUAAACAGUCAGCAAGAAAACAGUCAACAAGAAAACAGUCAGCAAGAAAACAGUCAGCAAGAAAACAGUCAACAUCAAAACAGUCAACAAGAAAACAGUCAGCAAGAAAACAGUCAACAUCAAAACAGUCAACCAUAAACAGUCAACAAGAAAACAGUCAGCAAGAAAACAGUCAGCAAGAAAACAGUCAACCAUAAACAGUCAGCAAGAAAACAUUUAACAAGAAAACAGUCAGCAAGAAAACAGUCAACAAGAAAACAGUCAGCAAGAAAACAGUCAACACCAAACCGGUCAACAUCAAAACAGUCAACCAUAAACAGUCAACACCAAAACAGUCAGCAAGAAAACAGUCAACAAGAAAACAGUCAACCAUAAACAGUCAGCAAGAAAACAGUCAACAAGAAAACAGUCAACAAGAAAAUGCUGCUCCCCCGUGUCGUUCAGGAGCCCAAACAAAGUUAGCGUGCUACAAUAUCGGACAGUAGAAACCAACCAGAAAGUUCGGAAAAUUGUCUGAAUCCUCCUUUGGCCACGACUGCCGACACAAGCAAGAAAACAAAGUAAAUACCGGAGACUCUGGAGGAAUAACGGGCACUUAAAACGGAGGUAGACCGGACAAGAGCUAAAAAGCCGGGUCAACAUAAAUGAUGGGGGACGCUUGGGGAUCUUGGUGACCCUGUAACCUUUCUGCUGGACAGGUAAACCGCUUUAACAAAGUAAGACAAGUGUCUGUAACAGAAGUGUUUCUUGUCAAACGGACCUGCUGUAGCGUGUUGUAGCGCCAUCGCUAAACUGUCCUCCCUCGGGUCCUGGACUAUGUCACUUUAUCCUCGUUGUAGAAGUCCUGCAAACAUUGUGUUUGCUGGUAGUCUGUUGGCAUCUACAGUAGCACCAAUGCUUUUGACUUUCACCUUGACUGGGCCCCAUUUGUAAUGAUCUGAAGUAUUUAUCUGCAUUAUAUCUGAAUUUAACUGGAACGAUACGAGCGAGCAGGAGCGUCUGUUUGUGGGCGGGGCUUGAGGGGAGAGGAGGAGCUGAGGGGAAAACUGGUUGGGAGGGGUAGAGUUUACAUUCAAGA